UACGAAGGGGGCUAGCGUUGCUCGGAAUUACUGGGCGUAAAGGGCGCGUAGGCGGCGUGAGUAGUCAGGCGUGAAAUUCCUGGGCUUAACCUGGGGGCUGCGCUUGAUACGCUCAUGCUAGAGGAUGGAAGAGGCUCGUGGAAUUCCCAGUGUAGAGGUGAAAUUCGUAGAUAUUGGGAAGAACACCGGUGGCGAAGGCGGCGAGCUGGUCCAUUACUGACGCUGAGGCGCGACAGCGUGGGGAGCAAACAGG
RNAcentral lists this ribosomal RNA (253 nucleotides) under uncultured prokaryote. Its description in RNAcentral is "partial 16S ribosomal RNA". It matches the Rfam family "Bacterial small subunit ribosomal RNA", at positions 524 to 776 of the family's 1533-position model. The record is from RNAcentral.